Molecule: ribosomal RNA, 253 nt
Filed under: uncultured bacterium
Lineage: Bacteria
Description: partial 16S ribosomal RNA
Rfam family: Bacterial small subunit ribosomal RNA
Source: RNAcentral
GACAGAGGAUGCAAGCGUUAUCCGGAAUGAUUGGGCGUAAAGCGUGUGUAGGCGGGUGCCUAAGUACCUUGUGAAAUCCCCCGGCUCAACCGGGGAACGGCUGGGUAUACUGGGUGCCUUGGGUCAUCUAGGGGCUGCCGGAACAAAUGGUGGAGCGGUGAAAUGCGUAGAUAUCAUUUGGAACGCCAACGGCGAAAGCAGGCAGCUGGGGAUGCACCGACGCUGAGACACGAAAGCCAGGGGAGCGAACGGG